This 1177-nucleotide long non-coding RNA is filed under the name Mytilus galloprovincialis (Mediterranean mussel). Lineage: Eukaryota; Metazoa; Mollusca; Bivalvia; Mytilida; Mytilidae. The record is from RNAcentral.
CUCCCAUGUCAGAUUUGCUCUAAAUGCUUUGGUUUUUGAGUUAUAAGCCAAAAACUGCAUUUUACCCCUAUGUUCUAUUUUUAGCCAUAAGGCCAUCUUGGUUGGUUGGCCGGGUCACCGGACACAUUUUUUAAACUAAAUACCCCAAUGAUGAUUGUGGCCAAGUUUGGUUCAAUUUGGCCCAGUAGUUUCAGAUGAGAAGAUUUUUGUAAAAGUUAACGACGCAGGACGACGACGGACGCAGGACGACGACGGACGCAGGACGCAAAGUGAUGGGAAAAGAUCACUUGGCCUUUUAGGCCAGGUGAGCUAAAAAUAAAAAUUGGGGCAAGAUUAACCAUUUUUGUCUUUCUCACCUUCAUGGCAGUGUCUUCUCUAUACAACAAAAAUUUACAAGAAUAACUUUCAAAUAAUUAGUGCAAAUCGUGCGAUCUAAAGAACCAAAUUUUUUAUCAGAUUGCAGCUAUUUAUUUUCGAGAUUGUUCCAAUCUAAACAAAAAUAAUGAAUUUUAAAUAUAAAGGAAACUAGAUUGAGAAAAAAUACUUUGGAAAAACCAACAACAAUCUCAACAUGGCAGUAUAUCAUGUCAGUUUUCAGUUUUCACAAAAGAGUCGACAGUUCCCGGAUAUUUAAUCUCAUCAGUUGAAAAAACUUCAUGAGAAAAAAACUAACAAUGCCAUGGCAAAAAAUGAUAAAAAACACAACACAAAAAGUUUACAAAACCAUUUUUUGAAAACACAACACGGAAAACAACAGACUGAUCCCACCAAUAUAUAUAAGGGUGAUAUAAGAUGCCCCAGAAAGGUAAGUAUUAUUAGCCUGCUCCACAUGUGUCACCAUUCGUGUUACAUUGAUGGACACAAUGAGUUAUAAUGUAUGACCAUUCAGGUCAAAGUAAUUCCAACUGAUUUUUUUUCAAUGAAUAUAGUAGUUUACAGCUCCUUAUCUAAAGUUACAAACAUUUCAAAAAAAAUAUUUCAUGAAUUGAAUUUUUCGUCAUAAAAAUAAGAUUUUCAAAAAUGCCAUUUUGCACACAUCAACCAAUUUCGUCAUACUUCAGCUGCGAAAUUAUAUAAAUGUUUUAUAUACGGAUCUUUUAGAACUGAGCAGUAUAUUUAAAAGCACUGAAUUGUAAACAUACCCUGACAGUAACAGAGUUGUGAUAAAAGAUCCUUC